Molecule: ribosomal RNA, 253 nt
Filed under: uncultured bacterium
Lineage: Bacteria
Description: partial 16S ribosomal RNA
Rfam family: Bacterial small subunit ribosomal RNA
Source: RNAcentral
UACGGAGGGUGCGAGCGUUGUCCGGAAUCACUGGGCGUAAAGGGCGCGUAGGCGGCUCAUGAAGGCUGUGGUGAAAGUCCGGGGCUCAACCUCGGAUCGGCCGUGGCGACUCGUGGGCUGGAGCACUGUAGAGGCGGGUGGAAUUCCUGGUGUAGCGGUGAAAUGCGCAGAUAUCAGGAGGAACACCAAUGGCGAAGGCAGCUCGCUGGGACGGUACUGACGCUGAGGCGCGAAAGCGUGGGGAGCAAACAGG